AUUGGGUUUAAAGUGCGCGUAGGCGGAUCGGCUAGUCAGGCGUGAAAGCCCCGGGCUCAACCUGGGAACUGCGCUUGAAACUGCCGGACUAGAGUCCGGGAGAGGGUGGUGGAAUUCCCAGUGUAGAGGUGAAAUUCGUAGAUACUGGGAAGAACACCAGUGGCGAAGGCGGCCACCUGGACCGGUACUGACGCUAAGGUGCGAAAGCGUGGGGAGCAAACAGGAUUAGAUACCCGAGUA
RNAcentral lists this ribosomal RNA (240 nucleotides) under uncultured Pseudomonadota bacterium. RNAcentral describes it as "uncultured proteobacterium partial 16S ribosomal RNA". It matches the Rfam family "Bacterial small subunit ribosomal RNA", at positions 553 to 792 of the family's 1533-position model. Lineage: Bacteria; Pseudomonadati; Pseudomonadota. The record is from RNAcentral.